This 301-nucleotide ribosomal RNA is filed under the name uncultured bacterium. RNAcentral describes it as "partial 16S ribosomal RNA". It matches the Rfam family "Bacterial small subunit ribosomal RNA", at positions 509 to 807 of the family's 1533-position model. The record is from RNAcentral.
CAGUAGCCACGGGAAUACGGAGGGUGCAAGCGUUAUCCGGAUUUAUUGGGUUUAAAGGGUCCGUAGGCGGACUUAUAAGUCAGUGGUGAAAGCCUGUCGCUUAACGAUAGAACUGCCAUUGAUACUGUAAGUCUUGAGUAUAUUUGAGGUAGCUGGAAUAAGUAGUGUAGCGGUGAAAUGCAUAGAUAUUACUUAGAACACCAAUUGCGAAGGCAGGUUACCAAGAUAUAACUGACGCUGAGGGACGAAAGCGUGGGUAGCGAACAGGAUUAGAUACCCGGGUAGUCCCUGUCUCUUAUAC